UUAACACAUGCAAGUCGAGCGGAAAGGCCACUUCGGUGGUACUCAGAGCGGCGAACGGGUGAGUAACACGUGAGUAAUCUGCCCCUGGCUUCGGGAUAGCCACCGGAAACGGUGAUUAAUACCGGAUAUGACAGACCCUCGCAUGGGGGUGUGUGGAAAGUUUUUCGGCCAGGGAUGUGCUCGCGGCCUAUCAGCUUGAUGGUGAGGUAAUGGCUCACCAUGGCUUCGACGGGUAGCCGGCCUGAGAGGGUGACCGGCCACACUGGGACUGAGACACGGCCCAGACUCCUACGGGAGGCAGCAGUGGGGAAUAUUGGACAAUGGGCGGAAGCCUGAUCCAGCAAACGCCGCGUGAGGGAUGACGGCCUUCGGGUUGUAAACCUCUUUCAGUACCGACGAAGCGCAAGUGACGGUAGGUACAGAAGAAGCACCGGCCAACUACGUGCCAGCAGCCGCGGUAAUACGUAGGGUGCGAGCGUUGUCCGGAAUUAUUGGGCGUAAAGGGCUCGUAGGCGGUUUGUCGCGUCGGGAGUGAAAACGCCGUGCUUAACACGGCGCUUGCUUCCGAUACGGGCAGACUAGAGGUAUUCAGGGGAGAACGGAAUUCCUGGUGUAGCGGUGAAAUGCGCAGAUAUCA
RNAcentral lists this ribosomal RNA (637 nucleotides) under uncultured Actinomycetes bacterium. RNAcentral's name for it is "bacterial SSU rRNA". It matches the Rfam family "Bacterial small subunit ribosomal RNA", at positions 48 to 699 of the family's 1533-position model. The record is from RNAcentral. Lineage: Bacteria; Bacillati; Actinomycetota; Actinomycetes.